Molecule: unclassified non-coding RNA, 360 nt
Filed under: uncultured fungus
Lineage: Eukaryota; Fungi
Description: partial contains 5.8S ribosomal RNA and internal transcribed spacer 2
Rfam family: 5.8S ribosomal RNA (bases 1-133)
Source: RNAcentral
UGGUUCUCGCAUCGAUGAAGAACGCAGCGAAACGCGAUAGGUAAUGUGAAUUGCAGAAUUCCGUGAAUCAUCGAAUCUUUGAACGCACAUUGCGCCUGCUGGUAUUCCGGUAGGCAUGCCUGUUUGAGCGUCAGCAAAACCUCUCAGUAGUACUUUAUUGUAAUGCUGGUUAUGGGUGUGGAGGAUAGCCAAAUUGGCUGCUCUCACCUUAAACUUGCUGCACGACCGCAAGCUAAUGCUAGGUUAAUGGAGUGGUAAUUUAUAAUUCCAGCAACUGUUCAUAGCUUCUGUGGCGUUAAACCCGAUGUUGCUUUACUGCAACUGAAGUUUGACCUCAAAUCAGACAAGGAUACCCGCUGA